CACAAUCGUGCGUUUUGUUUUGUUGUUUUUUAUAGAGCAACAAAAUGGGGUUUUGGCACAGUUGCAUUUGUGCUGAACAUUAGAUGAAAAUCAGAAAAUAUGUGAUGGAACCCCUUUCAACCUGUCACUGGAGAACAUUUCUGUAGAAGCUGCGCUGCAAAGACUUUUAUUAAACGGCCGUUCAACUGCAAUGGUGAAGGAUUGUGGUUUGGACUAAAAUAAAUCACCACUGAGACAGACGCGUCGGUGAAUCGUUUUAAAUAAAACGCCUGUGGGUGGCAGGAAGACGACAGGGUUAUUAUAAACCGUGUGAGCGCUUGUCAGCAUGUCAGUGUAUGAAAGAGGAGACCUGUGACAGGCCUUAAAGACAAUGAUAAAAAUAAAGAAUGGCAAUUUGCUGCUUUGCUGCUUUCGGGUGCAAGCCUUGCAAUUUCUAACGGCGGCGGGCCACGCAGAUCGUCCCACGGAUCUCUGUGGAAUUAUGCAAAUGUUCCAUUUGAUGCAGCUGUGGAUGCACCAGGAGCAAACCUCUCUCCAAAACGACCAAAAGGGGAAGCAGGAAGCCAGCAGGCCGCGCAGGCAGCAAGUACAACACACUGGUCUUCUCACAUCAGUCAGAGCGCUCAGUUUGGUGGAAGAGUUAAAUCAAGAUCGUCUCUAAUGUAAGUGAUGGAGUAAGACUUCCUUUACAAGAGAGAAAAAUGUAUUUUUUCCUGCUAACAGCCUAUUUAUUUUAUGUUAUGCAUUAAAUAUCAAAGUGUUGUAUAGGCCUUUUUUUAAAAAAAAAAAAGGGGGGAAAAAAAGCAAAGAUCCAAAGAAAAUUUAGGGAUUUAAAAAAAAAAGAAGAUAAACUUUUAUUUUCUCGUGUUUACUUUUAAAUUCAUCAUUUCAGGAGUUUCUCUGAGAGGUCGAUCUCAGAGGGUUUUUCCGGGUGAAGGUUUUUUAAAUGCUAUUUUAUAAAGUCUUCUUCUGAAUUGUGACAUUAAUGUAAAAUGUCUUUUAGCGUUUUUCCUGUUAUUUUGUGCUCCGAUUUUUAAUUCGAUUUGAAAAACCAGAAACUGAAAGAUGUGCCUGCCCCGCCCUGCUGCCGGCAUCCAUGACAUCCGAUUAUUCAACAUCACUGACAUUUACAACUAGUAAACUUAUCAGAACGUAUUGUUUGACUCCGCUGGUGCCCAACUGAUCCUUUUAUCAUGGAUUCUUUCAUCUCUGGCCUCCUGUUCUGCUGUCGUGUCCAUGCUGAGGAGCAAUAAUGAAGCGUCUGAGAUGUAGCUUCAAAACACAGAGAAUUCAAACGUAAUCAUUGCAUGGAUGACUCCUGAUCAAUCCGUCUCUUC
RNAcentral lists this long non-coding RNA (1337 nucleotides) under Takifugu rubripes (torafugu). RNAcentral describes it as "lncRNA (ENSTRUG00000027996.1)". Lineage: Eukaryota; Metazoa; Chordata; Actinopteri; Tetraodontiformes; Tetraodontidae. The record is from RNAcentral.